CGGGUACAACGAGUUGCGAACUCGCGAGAGUAAGCUAAUCUCUUAAAGCCGUUCUCAGUUCGGACUGUAGGCUGCAACUCGCCUACACGAAGUCGGAAUCGCUAGUAAUCGCGGAUCAGCAUGCCGCGGUGAAUACGUUCCCGGGCCUUGUACACACCGCCCGUCACACCAUGGAAGUUUGCAAUGCCCAAAGUCGGUGGCCUAACCAUUUGGAGGGAACCGCCUAAGGCAGGGCAGAUGACUGGGGUGAAGUCGUAACAAGGUAAC
Molecule: ribosomal RNA, 267 nt
Filed under: uncultured bacterium
Lineage: Bacteria
Description: partial 16S ribosomal RNA
Rfam family: Bacterial small subunit ribosomal RNA
Source: RNAcentral